Molecule: long non-coding RNA, 524 nt
Organism: Capra hircus (goat)
Lineage: Eukaryota; Metazoa; Chordata; Mammalia; Artiodactyla; Bovidae
Exons: 5
Source: RefSeq, a predicted model, not a curated record
GCUCCCUUCUUCAAAUGACUGUGCAUUGCUUACAGGAGGACCCAGGAGCAGUUUUCCAAAAUAACCGCCCUUGCUGCCCUGAGCCUAUUUGUGAAGUAUUCCUGCGGUGGCGUCAGUGAGUGAUGAGUACCAGGAAGGGAUAAGCUUUGUUUUCUCAUCGAAGAGCUGUGCAAAGAAAGUGAGAAGCCCCUGCCCCUGUCUCCUGGGUUGGCGAUUCUUCCUUCACUGCAUUAUAACCAGGAGAAGGAUGGAAGGAAUAAGAGGGUCACUGGACACAGAGCCUUCGAGAGUGGGAACCAGAGAAAAUGCUGCCCCAGGACCAAGUGAGGAGUGGAUGUCUUGUGGCUGCUGAAGAGAGGCGGUGGAGUAUAGAGGCCAAGAUGGGGGCACCUCUGGGGCAGGCGGCUGUCUGCUUUGCUCAUUGCUCCAUCCCGAGAUAUGUUGACUCACAGAACAACCUACCUUUCACCUUACUUGUCUUUCUAGAAAAAGCCCAGUUCUUCAGAGCCUGAGAACCGCAACUA